This is a long non-coding RNA of Chrysemys picta bellii (western painted turtle), 473 nucleotides long. RefSeq lists it as uncharacterized. Lineage: Eukaryota; Metazoa; Chordata; Testudines; Emydidae. The record is from RefSeq and is a predicted model, not a curated record.
ACUCCGAGCCGUGCGCAGCGGCAGCAGGUCUCAGCCCUGGCCCGCACCCGUCCCGCAGCAGGGUUGUACCGCUAGGCGGCCCGGGCCACGCGAGCUCGGCCCGGGUCGGCCCGCAGCUCUCUCCCGCGGGGGCGAAGCAGGACAUCCCCGCUCAGCGCGCCGGGGCUGAGGGGUCGGUGUCCUAGGGGCCGGAGCUUCGCGGCGCGGCGGGAAUCGACCUCCCGCUAAAGCGACCCCAGAGGCUGCAGGUAUAUCUGCAAUGGAAACCAGGACCAGAGCAUAAUGUCUGGUGAAGAUACAGAAAGAGCUCCAAGUAGCUCCCCUACAUCUCUCUAGUAGGGAUAAAAAGACAAAGCCCUUUGGACAUUCAGAGAAUACAGCCUUCUCUCCAUCUGCGGCAUAUAGUUUAGGAAAAAAUACUGCUGGCUAAAGAGAUAGCCUCUCCACCCCCAAAGACACUUGAAAGAAACUGG